This 253-nucleotide ribosomal RNA is filed under the name uncultured bacterium. Its description in RNAcentral is "partial 16S ribosomal RNA". It matches the Rfam family "Bacterial small subunit ribosomal RNA", at positions 524 to 776 of the family's 1533-position model. The record is from RNAcentral.
UACGUAGGGGGCUAGCGUUGUCCGGAAUCAUUGGGCGUAAAGAGCGUGUAGGCGGUCCGGUAAGUCCGCUGUGAAAGUCGGGGGCUCAACCCUCGAAUGCCGGUGGAUACUGUCGGGCUAGAGUGCGGAAGAGGCGAGUGGAAUUCCUGGUGUAGCGGUGAAAUGCGCAGAUAUCAGGAGGAACACCUAUUGCGAAGGCGGCUACCUGGACCGGUUCUGACGCUGAGGCGCGAAAGCGUGGGUAGCAAACAGG